GGUGGGGGGGGGACAGGAGAUGAGAGGGGCACUAGCCUCAGAAAGGCAACGGGAAGGGGAUCAGACUGUCCCCUAAGGAACCCGAAUCAAAUGUUCCUUCUCCAAGUUACGGUCUGGUGGCCUCUGCAGUCAGAGAAGUCCGGCAGGAGGUAUCCCUGAUGGAAAGAAUGGCCUCUCGACCCCCCACCUCCACCCCAAGUAGGCAGCUAAGAAUGGAGCAGCUGGGAGAGACCAGGAUAUGAUGAAGGAUGUGCUCUUCCCAGACACCUUUCACGGACAACAUAGCUGGCUUUUGUCGUUCUUUGCCACCUCAGAGCUGGAGAACAAGAGGUCACCGAUCCUUUGUGGGUCCUGGGAAUGGACACAUUAUCCAGUCCCAGAACCUCCUGCCCCAUACUGCUUCCUGCCCUGGACUCCCCAGGCAGGGUCCAAGUCUACCAUGGGUCUGUCACAGCCUCUCUUCCCCAUGCUCACCCACUUCUCCAUUGCCAAGAAGGUCAGCUCAGCAGUGACUUGUAUUUUGAUCCCCUGGGAGAAGGAUCAGAAUUGGGGAAAGAGGGAGAAUGACACCUCCCAUAUCUUUUUCCAUCGUGUCCAAAUGUAUUCUUCCCCCGAGUCCCAGCUCCAUCUAGAGGACUAGGAAGUGGCUGAUUGGGAAGUGACGUGUGACACAGCAAGCCCUUCUAUCCCCCUGCUGGUCCCCGAGACACCCAAGUUUGGAGCUAACCCUUCUCUUACCUCGCACACUGUCCAGUGAGGCCUGGAUGCUGUUUCGAAGUUCAGGGUCGCCCACCCUCUCUGCCAGCUUCCUGAGGCGGCUUAGAGACUGCUUGGCCACCUCGUGUCGUCUGACUUCUGCUCUCACUGCAGCAACAGCCAACUGCCUCUGGGCAUGCAUGUUGCCCAGACCUGUCUUGCCAGGCUAACAGCAACUUCUGGUCCUGAAGCCCAUGGCCCUGCAGUCCCCAAACCCCAGAAGGCCCCUUCUGCUGUGCCUCAGAGCUCACCGCUCCUGCCCGCCCUUCCGUCUGUCGGCCUCACUUCCUGACUGGACCUGAAAGAGAAGAGGGUGGAUGAGGAACUGAAGAACAGAAUGAAGACGCAGGGGAGAUAUUGAGAGAAAACAGUGGCUAGUUUGAUCUAAUCGCUUUGCUUCAGGACUCAAACCUUUCUGGCCCUGCCAAAUGUCUCUUCGCCUGCAUACCUUCUUGACAUUAAUUUGUGAAGGAUAGCAGAUUAUAACUAUGGAUUCUUUAUUGUAUAGAUAGAGACAAGGGAAUCAGAGUUGGGGUUACCUACUGGAACUUAUAAAACAGCGUGAUUAUAAUAGCGAA
Herpailurus yagouaroundi (jaguarundi) is the source of this 1334-nucleotide long non-coding RNA. RefSeq lists it as uncharacterized. NCBI's taxonomy places the organism in Eukaryota, Metazoa, Chordata, Mammalia, Carnivora, Felidae. The transcript has 3 exons. The record is from RefSeq and is a predicted model, not a curated record.